GGUUUAAGGUGGGCAAAGGGAGUGCCUUGGGUUUAAGCCUCAAAUACAAGAUGAAUGUCUUUCCUAAAA
Molecule: transfer RNA, 69 nt
Filed under: Forficula auricularia (European earwig)
Lineage: Eukaryota; Metazoa; Arthropoda; Insecta; Dermaptera; Forficulidae
Description: tRNA-Leu
Source: RNAcentral